Molecule: ribosomal RNA, 703 nt
Filed under: Shigella flexneri
Lineage: Bacteria; Pseudomonadati; Pseudomonadota; Gammaproteobacteria; Enterobacterales; Enterobacteriaceae
Description: bacterial SSU rRNA
Rfam family: Bacterial small subunit ribosomal RNA
Source: RNAcentral
UGGAGGUUGUGCCCUUGAGGUGUGGCUUCCGGAGCUAACGCGUUAAGUCGACCGCCUGGGGAGUACGGCCGCAAGGUUAAAACUCAAAUGAAUUGACGGGGGCCCGCACAAGCGGUGGAGCAUGUGGUUUAAUUCGAUGCAACGCGAAGAACCUUACCUGGUCUUGACAUCCACGGAAGUUUUCAGAGAUGAGAAUGUGCCUUCGGGAACCGUGAGACAGGUGCUGCAUGGCUGUCGUCAGCUCGUGUUGUGAAAUGUUGGGUUAAGUCCCGCAACGAGCGCAACCCUUAUCCUUUGUUGCCAGCGGUCCGGCCGGGAACUCAAAGGAGACUGCCAGUGAUAAACUGGAGGAAGGUGGGGAUGACGUCAAGUCAUCAUGGCCCUUACGACCAGGGCUACACACGUGCUACAAUGGCGCAUACAAAGAGAAGCGACCUCGCGAGAGCAAGCGGACCUCAUAAAGUGCGUCGUAGUCCGGAUUGGAGUCUGCAACUCGACUCCAUGAAGUCGGAAUCGCUAGUAAUCGUGGAUCAGAAUGCCACGGUGAAUACGUUCCCGGGCCUUGUACACACCGCCCGUCACACCAUGGGAGUGGGUUGCAAAAGAAGUAGGUAGCUUAACCUUCGGGAGGGCGCUUACCACUUUGUGAUUCAUGACUGGGGUGAAGUCGUAACAAGGUAACCGUAGGGGAACCUGCGGUUGG